GAUCCUGGCUCAGAUUGAACGCUGGCGGCAGGCCUAACACAUGCAAGUCGAACGGUAACAGGAAGCAGCUUGCUGCUUUGCUGACGAGUGGCGGACGGGUGAGUAAUGUCUGGGAAACUGCCCGAUGGAGGGGGAUAACUACUGGAAACGGUAGCUAAUACCGCAUAACGUCGCAAGACCAAAGAGGGGGACCUUAGGGCCUCUUGCCGUCGGAUGUGCCCAGAUGGGAUUAGCUAGUAGGUGGGUAAAGG
RNAcentral lists this ribosomal RNA (251 nucleotides) under uncultured bacterium. Its description in RNAcentral is "partial 16S ribosomal RNA". It matches the Rfam family "Bacterial small subunit ribosomal RNA", at positions 15 to 263 of the family's 1533-position model. The record is from RNAcentral.